ACGAACGCUGGCGGCCUGCCUAACACCUGCCAGUCGCACGAGACCUUCGGGUCUAGUGGCGCACGGGUGCGUAACGCGUGGGAACCUGCCCUUAGGUUCGGAAUAACUCCCCGAAAGGGGUGCUAAUACCGGAUAAUGUCUUCGGACCAAAGAUUUAUCGCCUUUGGAUGGGCCCGCGUUGGAUUAGCUAGUUGGUAGGGUAAAAGCCUACCAAGGCGACGAUCCAUAGCUGGUCUGAGAGGAUGAUCAGCCACACUGGGACUGAGACACGGCCCAGACUCCUACGGGAGGCAGCAGUGGGGAAUAUUGGACAAUGGGCGAAAGCCUGAUUCAGCAAUGCCGCGUGAGUGAUGAAGGCCUUAGGGUUGUAAAGCUCUUUUACCCGGGAUGAUAAUGACAGUACCGGGAGAAUAAGCUCCGGCUAACUCCGUG
RNAcentral lists this ribosomal RNA (432 nucleotides) under uncultured bacterium. Its description in RNAcentral is "partial 16S ribosomal RNA". It matches the Rfam family "Bacterial small subunit ribosomal RNA", at positions 29 to 507 of the family's 1533-position model. The record is from RNAcentral.